UGAGGAGGAGCCAUUGAAACAACACAAAUCACAGUACACGGAAAUGGAGAGGUUCCCUUUUUUGGAUGUCAGUGUGACUCUGUCCGCAAGAGAAGAGCUCACUGGAGGAAAAGACCAAACAGAAAAACUUCAUGUCGUGAGCCUGUUAAGCACCACUAAAAGAAACUUUGAAGGUUCGGAAAUCACACACACCUGUUGACAUUUUCCCAUAGCCUGUCGGCGUUUGGGGGUGGAAAUCCUUACCAAGGACGAUGGCUGUGCUGCAAGCGAUGGGAUCGGCUGGCUUGAGGCUCCAGCAGAGCUCCCUGGUGUCUGGGCUGGUGGAGAGGUCGUAGCAGCCUGAGCAGAGAGAUGGACAGGCUGACCUCCACGAAGCCUCUGCUCUCUCUCUGCUGCAAUCGAUUCUCUGAUGAGCUUCAACUGAUCCACUGAUGCAGACUUGGGGAACACAAGGACUGUUCUGGACACUCAAGAUGCUGCUGCUGUUGUGACUUCAGUGGCCAGUGCUGAGGCCUCCACAACAGCUUUAAGUGAUUUAAUAAAGUAAUCCACAAACAGUUCAAACAGGAUCCUGUGUUCUACUUAAUUAGUUGUUUGAUCUGUUGUUAAGCUGUUGUUGUUGCAGAUGGAAAGAGACUGCAAUUCUACUGUAAUUUAUAUUGGAUGUAUGUUG
Cheilinus undulatus (humphead wrasse) is the source of this 673-nucleotide long non-coding RNA. RefSeq lists it as uncharacterized. The record is from RefSeq and is a predicted model, not a curated record. The transcript has 4 exons. Lineage: Eukaryota; Metazoa; Chordata; Actinopteri; Labriformes; Labridae.